ACUCAAAUGAAUUGACGGGGGCCCGCACAAGCAGCGGAGCGUGUGGUUCAAUUCGAUGCAACGCGAAGAACCUUACCCAGGCUUGACAUGCCGUUGGUAGGAGGGGGAAACUCCUCCGACCCGCAAGGGAGGCGGCACAGGUGCUGCAUGGCUGUCGUCAGCUCGUGCCGUGAGGUGUUGGGUUAAGUCCCGCAACGAGCGCAACCCUCGCUGCCAGUUCAGUUGUCUGGCGGGACCGCCGGGUUCAACCCGGAGGAAGGUGGGGAUGACGUCAAGUCAGCACGGCCCUUACGUCUGGGGCUACACACACGCUACAAUGGCCGGUACAACGGGUUGCGAAGGGGUGACCUGGAGCCAAUCCCAGCAAAGCCGGUCUCAGUGGGGAUUGGGGGCUGCAACUCGCCCCCAUGAACGCGGAGUUGCUAGUAACCGCAGGUCAGCACACUGCGGUGAAUACGUUCCCGGGCCUUGUACACACCGCCCGU
RNAcentral lists this ribosomal RNA (485 nucleotides) under uncultured bacterium. RNAcentral's name for it is "partial 16S ribosomal RNA". It matches the Rfam family "Bacterial small subunit ribosomal RNA", at positions 899 to 1397 of the family's 1533-position model. The record is from RNAcentral.